AGGGAAGGAAGAUGGCCACGUACCCAUGCCCAGCUUCCAGGCGGACGGGGGACAAGCCCUCUGACAGUUCCACAGACAGCAGGAGACUCAGGGUGGUGGCCUUCAGCAUUCUGAAAGUGGCAAGCGGAGUGAGAAAGAACUCUGAAUGGCAGAAUUCCCAACCGUGGGAAAUGUGACUAAGAUGACACGAAGGCUUGGAAACCUGUAGGACCUGAUGAACUUUUCUCAAGUGACAAAGGCAAACCCACAAGACUCUUACUAUCGCCUGCAUGUUCUAAAACAGACGAAAUGGACUAGUUACGGCAAAUGUUACAGUGAACAUCUACGAGACCCUCCCUGUUACAUCUGCAAGACUGUCAUGAGCACUUGGCAAUGUUAAUCUAGCCCAAAUAGUCUGAAUCUGUAGGACACAGCAAAGUCACCAGAGAGAGGGGACAUUCUUCCGAAGUAGGACCAGUCAACACAUUUCUCUUCAGUCCUGUUCUCCUAGCUUGGCUCUGCUUCUGGGCUUCCAAGAAGCCUUCUCCUGAGAUUAGUCAACCAUUUGGGUCACCGUGAUACCAGAACAGGGCUGCUCUGGACCAAAGACAGGUAUAAACCGGGCACUAUGAAGUAGCCGGUGCUGGUAGCCAACUCAAAGUCAAACAGUAAACCACUGGGGGA
Callorhinus ursinus (northern fur seal) is the source of this 663-nucleotide long non-coding RNA. RefSeq lists it as uncharacterized. The record is from RefSeq and is a predicted model, not a curated record. NCBI's taxonomy places the organism in Eukaryota, Metazoa, Chordata, Mammalia, Carnivora, Otariidae.